UGGGGAAUAUUGGGCAAUGGGCGAAGGCCUGACCCAGCGACGCCGCGUGGGUGAUGAAGGCCUUCGGGUUGUAAAGCCCUGUCAUGCGGAAAGAACGACCCUGUGACGCAUACUCACAGGGAGUGACGGUACCGCAGGAGGAAGCACCGGCUAACUCCGUGCCAGCAGCCGCGGUAAUACGGAGGGUGCAAGCGUCGUUCGGAAUUAUUGGGCGUAAAGGGCGCGUAGGCGGUAAUGUAAGUCAGAUGUGAAAUACUCCGGCUCAACCAGAGAACAGCAUCUGAAACUGCAUAACUAGAGUACAGAAGAGGGAAACGGAAUUCCCGGUGUAGAGGUGAAAUUCGUAGAUAUCGGGAGGAACACCAGUGGCGAAGGCGGUUUCCUGGUCUGAUACUGACGCUGAGGCGCGAAAGCGUGGGGAGCAAACAG
Molecule: ribosomal RNA, 429 nt
Filed under: uncultured bacterium
Lineage: Bacteria
Description: bacterial SSU rRNA
Rfam family: Bacterial small subunit ribosomal RNA
Source: RNAcentral